CAGGGAAUAGUUUAUUUAAAAUAUUAAUUUUGGAGAUUAAUGAAAGGGUUAUUGAUCUUUUCCCUGA
This 67-nucleotide transfer RNA is filed under the name Cryptocephalus vittatus. RNAcentral's name for it is "tRNA-Pro". Lineage: Eukaryota; Metazoa; Arthropoda; Insecta; Coleoptera; Chrysomelidae. The record is from RNAcentral.